UUUUUUGCAAAAAAAUUGGCUUGCAGAUCAGGAAACGAAAUCCACACCACAGCUUUUGACGUUUCUUGUCGAGGGUUAAAUCCCAUGGUCCAUGGGAAAGUCCUAAAGAAGAACUCGUCUUCCUUUUCCUUAGCGUAACCAGUUGUUCUUGACAAUACAUGAACAAAGUCUUCAAAAAGACCAAAUCUUACCAGAAUAUGCUGGUAAUCUAGCCGUCCAACGUUGCAGGUUGUUCUUGACAAUAAUGAACAAAGUCUUCAAAAAGAUCAAAUCUUACCAGGAUAUGCCGGUAAUCUAGCUGUCCAACGUUGCAUUUACCUUUGACGUCAAGUUAUUUUGGUAUAAUCUGC
Molecule: long non-coding RNA, 350 nt
Filed under: Nicotiana benthamiana
Lineage: Eukaryota; Viridiplantae; Streptophyta; Magnoliopsida; Solanales; Solanaceae
Description: long non-coding RNA (NBEN_LNC024823)
Source: RNAcentral